AACGCACAUUGCGCCCCCUGGCAUUCCGGGGGGCAUGCCUGUCCGAGCGUCAUUUCUGCCCUCAAGCCCGGCUUGUGUGUUGGGCGUGGUCCCCCCUCUUUGGGGGGGGACCUGCCCGAAAGGCAGCGGCGACGUCGCGUCGAGUCCUCGAGCGUAUGGGGCUUUGUCACCCGCUCGGGAGGGACCGGCCGGCGUUGGUCAUCCACUGUAUUUUUCCACGGUUGACCUCGGAUCAGGUAGGAGUUACCCGCUGAACUUAA
Molecule: unclassified non-coding RNA, 260 nt
Filed under: Pyrenula sp.
Lineage: Eukaryota; Fungi; Ascomycota; Eurotiomycetes; Pyrenulales; Pyrenulaceae
Description: partial contains 5.8S ribosomal RNA, internal transcribed spacer 2, and large subunit ribosomal RNA
Source: RNAcentral